AGAACGAACGCUGGCGGCAUGCCUAAUACAUGCAAGUCGAACGAACUCUUCGGAGUUAGUGGCGCACGGGUGCGUAACGCGUGGGAAUCUGCCCCUUGGUUCGGAAUAACAGUUGGAAACGACUGCUAAUACCGGAUGAUGACGAAAGUCCAAAGAUUUAUCGCCAAGGGAUGAGCCCGCGUAGGAUUAGCUAGUUGGUGAGGUAAAGGCUCACCAAGGCAACGAUCCUUAGCUGGUCUGAGAGGAUGAUCAGCCACACUGGGACUGAGACACGGCCCAGACUCCUACGGGAGCAGCAGUAGGAAUAUUGGACAAUGGGAC
This 321-nucleotide ribosomal RNA is filed under the name uncultured soil bacterium. RNAcentral's name for it is "bacterial SSU rRNA". It matches the Rfam family "Bacterial small subunit ribosomal RNA", at positions 26 to 377 of the family's 1533-position model. The record is from RNAcentral.